Molecule: long non-coding RNA, 207 nt
Filed under: Zea mays
Lineage: Eukaryota; Viridiplantae; Streptophyta; Magnoliopsida; Poales; Poaceae
Description: long non-coding RNA (ZMAY_LNC000261)
Source: RNAcentral
AAGACCAUGAAGUAGCGAGCGCACGAAUUCAUGAAUCGAGAUAAAAAAAAUUCCCAAAGUAGUCGUGCUGUCACAGCAGUGUAUGUAUUCAUUGUAGAAUGGUGUUGGUGAUCGAAGGUGGAAAAGGAAAAAAACUAGGUUCGAUGGAGUAGAUUAAUAAUUGAACAAAAACCUCUGGCUAGCCUCCACAACAGAAAAAUUGUUGAG